AGAGUUUGAUCCUGGCUCAGAACGAACGCUGGCGGCAUGCCUAACACAUGCAAGUCGAACGGGAUCCAGGCUUCGGCCUGGUGAGAGUGGCGGACGGGUGAGUAACACGUGGGAACCUGCCUUUUGGUUCGGGAUAACCGCGGGAAACUGCGGCUAAUACCGGAUGCUCCCGAGAGGGGAAAGAUUUAUCGCCAGAAGAGGGGCCCGCGUCCGAUUAGGUAGUUGGUGAGGUAAUGGCUCACCAAGCCGACGAUCGGUAGCUGGUCUGAGAGGAUGAUCAGCCACACUGGGACUGAGAUACGGCCCAGACUCCUACGGGAGGCAGCAGUGGGGAAUAUUGGACAAUGGGGGCAACCCUGAUCCAGCAAUGCCGCGUGAGUGAUGAAGGCCUUAGGGUUGUAAAGCUCUUUUGCCAGGGAAGAUGAUGACUGUACCUGGAGAAUAAGCCCCGGCUAACUUCGUG
This 463-nucleotide ribosomal RNA is filed under the name uncultured bacterium. RNAcentral's name for it is "bacterial SSU rRNA". It matches the Rfam family "Bacterial small subunit ribosomal RNA", at positions 8 to 507 of the family's 1533-position model. The record is from RNAcentral.